This 64-nucleotide transfer RNA is filed under the name Salganea incerta. RNAcentral describes it as "tRNA-Arg". The record is from RNAcentral. Lineage: Eukaryota; Metazoa; Arthropoda; Insecta; Blattodea; Blaberidae.
GAAUUUGAAGCAAUCUUGCAGCUAGUUUCGACCUAGCCCUCUGGUAUUUAAUUACCCUUAUUUU